UGUGGAUUUCCACAGCUCAUCUGAAAUGCCUGAGUGUACCCCACUUUGUGGCGUAUUCGGUGUGAUAAAUCUUCACCGGAGUUGAUCCUUUUGGGUUGCGUCUGUAUCAGUGUGGCUCUAUGCUUCCAACCGUCCUUCACAGGGACAAAUCCCUUGACAAUUUGACCUCAAAUCGGGUGGGACUACCCGCUGAACUUAAGCAUAUCAAUAAGCGGAGGAAAAGAAACUAACAAGGAUUCCCCUAGUAACGGCGAGUGAAGAGGGAAAAGCUCAAAUUUUGAAUCUGGUGUCUUUGACUCCCGAGUUGUAAUCUAGAGAAGUGUUUUCCGUGUCGGACCGUGCACAAGUUCCCUGGAAUGGGGCGUCAUAGAGGGUGAGAAUCCCGUAUAUGGCACGGACUGCCGAUGCUCUGUGAUACACUCUCAACGAGUCGAGUUGUUUGGGAAUGCAGCUCAAAAUGGGUGGUAAAUUCCAUCUAAAGCUAAAUAUUGGCGAGAGACCGAUAGCGAACAAGUACCGUGAGGGAAAGAUGAAAAGCACUUUGGAAAGAGAGUGAAACAGUACGUGAAAUUGUUGAAAAGGGAAGCGUUUGAAGUCAGUCAUGUCUGGUGGGAUUC
This 617-nucleotide ribosomal RNA is filed under the name uncultured Sebacinales. RNAcentral's name for it is "eukaryotic LSU rRNA". The stretch from base 163 to 617 matches the Rfam family "Eukaryotic large subunit ribosomal RNA", at positions 1 to 450 of the family's 3401-position model. The record is from RNAcentral. Lineage: Eukaryota; Fungi; Basidiomycota; Agaricomycetes; Sebacinales.